AUGGUUCCCUCUUCCAUCCUCUUUUAUAUUUUUUGUUCAGAGUUUUUGGUUCUGAUUUUGAGCAGGGGCAUUAGUUUAAUUUGCUUGAGUGCAGGGCUGAUAUUUUAUGAUGUUGUAGGGCAUAACAUGUUUCAGCUAUGGAAUGAUAGCAUGAGGGCAGCGGUAUGUUCCAAUGGCAAUCCUAGUAUUGAUCAGAGAUAG
This is a non-coding RNA of Vicia faba (fava bean), 201 nucleotides long. Lineage: Eukaryota; Viridiplantae; Streptophyta; Magnoliopsida; Fabales; Fabaceae. The record is from the annotation of a GenBank genome assembly.